UCGGGAAUAUUGGACAAUGGGCGCAAGCCUGAUCCAGCCAUGCCGCGUGUGUGAAGAAGGCCUUCGGGUUGUAAAGCACUUUCAGUAGGGAGGAAGGCUGACCGUUUAAUAGACGGUUGGAUUGACGUUACCUACAGAAGCAGCACCGGCUAACUCCGUGCCAGCAGCCGCGGUAAUACGGAGGGUGCAAGCGUUAAUCGGAAUUACUGGGCGUAAAGCGCGCGUAGGCGGUUUGUUAAGUCGGAUGUGAAAGCCCUGGGCUCAACCUAGGAACUGCAUCCGAUACUGACAGGCUAGAGUACGGUAGAGGGGGGUAGAAUUCCACGUGUAGCGGUGAAAUGCGUAGAGAUGUGGAGGAAUACCGGUGGCGAAGGCGGCCCCCUGGACUGAUACUGACGCUAAAGUGCGAAAGCGUGGGGAGCAAACAGG
RNAcentral lists this ribosomal RNA (429 nucleotides) under uncultured bacterium. RNAcentral describes it as "bacterial SSU rRNA". It matches the Rfam family "Bacterial small subunit ribosomal RNA", at positions 355 to 776 of the family's 1533-position model. The record is from RNAcentral.